UACGGGGGGAGCAAGCGUUGUUCGGAUUUACUGGGCGUAAAGGGCGCGUAGGCGGCCAGCACAAGUCAGUUGUGAAAUCUCCGAGCUUAACUCGGAAAGGUCAACUGAUACUGUGCGGCUAGAGUGCAGAAGGGGCAACUGGAAUUCCUGGUGUAGCGGUGAAAUGCGCAGAUAUCAGGAGGAACACCGAUGGCGAAGGCAGCUCGCUGGGACGGUACUGACGCUGAGACGCGAAAGCGUGGGGAGCAAACAGG
RNAcentral lists this ribosomal RNA (254 nucleotides) under uncultured bacterium. RNAcentral's name for it is "partial 16S ribosomal RNA". It matches the Rfam family "Bacterial small subunit ribosomal RNA", at positions 524 to 776 of the family's 1533-position model. The record is from RNAcentral.